Molecule: long non-coding RNA, 1299 nt
Filed under: Homo sapiens (human)
Lineage: Eukaryota; Metazoa; Chordata; Mammalia; Primates; Hominidae
Description: HSALNT0329723
Source: RNAcentral
AAUUCGGCUGUGAAUCCGUCUGGUCCUGGACUUUUUUUGGACAGCAGUUGGUUGACAUUUAAAGGGCUACUGUCCCAGAAGGCUGCUUGCCUGGGCCCAUGGCACUGCCAGAAAUCACAAGACUAAGCUGAAAAAGCACAAAGAAGUUUCCUUUCAUUCCAGGAACCUCUUGGCUUGAAUAUGAAAUAGCCUCUUAGUGACACUACACUGCAAUUUCAAAUAAUAGGUUUUUUAUCACCUCUUUGAGAAAUAUCACCUUGGGUUCAUCCCAGAAAAAUAAUACAAAGUAGAAUUUUUUCAAACGUAAUCCCCUUGGGUUCCUCUCAGAAAAAAAUAGAAAGUAGAAUUCUUUCAAACUUAAUCCCCUCUUUGUAUUUGUCUCCUCUGCAUCUCUCCAAAGUAGAUGGGUAGGAGAGGGAAACAGUGCUGUAGAAAAUGGGACAAGAACACACCCUAAUAAAACAAGAAAACAUGGUUUGCCAGAGGUCUCCUUUCCCAGGCUCAAGCCUCAAGUUUCUAAUUGUCCCUACAUUACUCCCACAAAUGCCUUUCUGGGAGAGUCUUGUAUGCUAGACCUCUGCCAUCUUCCCAUCCUUUCUCCCUUCCUCCUAACCUUCACUCUUGAGAAAGACUCAUCCUGGCUUCUGUGUCCAUAGAACCUUGAAGCAGCUUUCUGGUGAGGAGGUGAGCUACUUCCUGCAAAACUACUAGUAGCUGCUAUUGAUUAAUGUAUUCUUCCAACCAGGUAAUGUAUUCCUGUUCCAACAGAAGUCUUCUUGAGACAUAUCUGAAAGUGACAUAGUAACCAGAAGGAAGAUUUUUGGAGGGUUCUUGAACUAGCUCUACAUAGGAAACUGCCAACAAUAACUUCCUGUGGCAUUUGUUAAGUUGUGAUUCUGCCCCUCACUGCUUGACUUAGUCCUCUUGACAAGGGCCAGGAGGAGAAAACAGGUCUCAAAGAACAGUGUACAUCAAAGCCUGGCUUUCCAGCAAUGCCUGACCCUGCCAAAGAAGGCAGGGAAGCCCCCACAGAGCCUCUUAGAAACCUCAACUCCCUCAGCCUCUUGUCCCAGAGCAUCACUGGCAGGUAUAGACCAAGCAUAUCCACAUCCACACGUACGUCUUUUUUGCUUUUAUUCAUUUUAGUUUAUAACAACUAUUUAUUUAGGACGUGGUUCUGUGAGCUGUUAAAUUGUUCUAUUGUCAGAUCAUAGCUGUAUACAUUUGUGGGGUGUCAAAACGAUGUUUUAACAUAUACAUACAAUCAGUGUGAUUAAAUCAAGCUAAUUAACACAUCCA